Molecule: ribosomal RNA, 492 nt
Filed under: uncultured bacterium
Lineage: Bacteria
Description: partial 16S ribosomal RNA
Rfam family: Bacterial small subunit ribosomal RNA
Source: RNAcentral
AGUGAACGCUGGCGGUAGGCCUAACACAUGCAAGUCGAACGGCAGCACAGUAAGAGCUUGCUCUUACGGGUGGCGAGUGGCGGACGGGUGAGGAAUACAUCGGAAUCUACUUUUUCGUGGGGGAUAACGUAGGGAAACUUACGCUAAUACCGCAUACGACCUACGGGUGAAAGCAGGGGAUCUUCGGACCUUGCGCGAUUGAAUGAGCCGAUGUCGGAUUAGCUAGUUGGCGGGGUAAAGGCCCACCAAGGCGACGAUCCGUAGCUGGUCUGAGAGGAUGAUCAGCUACACUGGAACUGAGACACGGCCCAGACUCCUACGGGAGGCAGCAGUGGGGAAUAUUGGACAAUGGGCGCAAGCCUGAUCCAGCCAUACCGCGUGGGUGAAGAAGGCCUUCGGGUUGUAAAGCCCUUUUGUUGGGAAAGAAAAGCAGCAGGUUAAUACCCCGCUGUUCUGACGGUACCCAAAGAAUAAGCACCGGCUAACUUCGUG